UUUUUAACAGCUGCGGCNUUUUUAACUGUACUAAGGUAGCAUAAUAAUUUGCCUUAUAAUUUGAGGCUAGAAUGAAUGGUUUGACGAAGGUUUAUCUGUCUCUAUUUUAUUUUGUAGAAUUUAAUUUUUAUAGUGAGAAAGCUUAAAUAUAUAAAAGGGACGAGAAGACCCUAAUGAGCUUUAAUUUAAUAAUAUUUAAUAUAAAAUUAAAUAUAUAUAUAUAAAUUUUAAUUGGGGUGAUUAAGGAAUAAUUUAUUUAAAAGUAACUUCCUUAAAAAUAAGUUUGUUAGAUUAAUUAACCAAUAUUUAUUGCUUAUAAUAGAGUUACCAUAGGGAUAACAGCGUAAUUUAUUUAGAGAGUUCUUAUUGAAAUAUAAGUUUGCGACCUCGAUGUUGGAUUAAAGUAACCUUAAGGUGCAGAAGCUUUAAUAGGUAAAUCUGUUCGAUUUUU
This 451-nucleotide ribosomal RNA is filed under the name Ascarosepion mestus. RNAcentral's name for it is "partial 16S ribosomal RNA". It matches the Rfam family "Bacterial large subunit ribosomal RNA", at positions 1921 to 2589 of the family's 2925-position model. The record is from RNAcentral. Lineage: Eukaryota; Metazoa; Mollusca; Cephalopoda; Sepiida; Sepiidae.